UCCUGGGUGGUAUAAACGGUUAAUGCACUUGGCUGCUAACUGAAAGGCUGGAGGUUCGAGUCCACCCAGAGGAU
This 74-nucleotide transfer RNA is filed under the name Loxodonta africana (African savanna elephant). It matches the Rfam family "tRNA". Rfam says of the family: Transfer RNA (tRNA) molecules are approximately 80 nucleotides in length. The record is from Rfam by way of RNAcentral. Lineage: Eukaryota; Metazoa; Chordata; Mammalia; Proboscidea; Elephantidae.